UACGGAGGGUGCAAGCGUUAUCCGGAUUUAUUGGGUUUAAAGGGUCCGUAGGCGGACUGGUAAGUCAGUGGUGAAAUCCUGCAGCUUAACUGUAGAACUGCCAUUGAUACUGCCGGUCUUGAAUUUGGUUGAAGUGGGCGGAAUAUGGCAUGUAGCGGUGAAAUGCUUAGAUAUGCCAUAGAACACCGAUUGCGAAGGCAGCUCACUAAGCCUGGAUUGACGCUGAUGGACGAAAGCGUGGGUAGCGAACAGG
Molecule: ribosomal RNA, 253 nt
Filed under: uncultured bacterium
Lineage: Bacteria
Description: partial 16S ribosomal RNA
Rfam family: Bacterial small subunit ribosomal RNA
Source: RNAcentral